GUUCUUAGCAAAUCACUCAAUGUAUCUGGACUUGGUUUCACCAUUUCAUUGUCCAUUUUCCUCUCUUAAAUAGUGAGGGAAUAAGAGAAUACACCUCUUUCUGCCUGUUACCUUGAAAAGAUGCUGUUUAUAAACAGGAUAAAGAGACUGUAUCUGCUGGAAUGUGCUACUGUCAUAGCUAGAAUAUCACCAACGGGGAAAAAAAUGUCAUUAAGCCAGAACAACAACAACAAAAACAAGCAUAAACUUUG
This is a non-coding RNA of Microcebus murinus (gray mouse lemur), 251 nucleotides long. The record is from RefSeq and is a predicted model, not a curated record. NCBI's taxonomy places the organism in Eukaryota, Metazoa, Chordata, Mammalia, Primates, Cheirogaleidae.